This 497-nucleotide ribosomal RNA is filed under the name uncultured bacterium. RNAcentral's name for it is "partial 16S ribosomal RNA". It matches the Rfam family "Bacterial small subunit ribosomal RNA", at positions 28 to 507 of the family's 1533-position model. The record is from RNAcentral.
GAUGAACGCUGGCGGCAUGCCUAAUACAUGCAAGUCGAGCGAACGGACGAGAAGCUUGCUUUUCUGAUGUUAGCGGCGGACGGGUGAGUAACACGUGGAUAACCUACCUAUAAGACUGGGAUAACUUCGUGAAACCGGAGCUAAUACCGGAUAAUAUUUUGAACCGCAUGGUUCAAAAGUGAAAGACGGUCUUGCUGUUACUUAUAGAUGGAUCCGCGCUGCAUUAGCUAGUUGGUAAGGUAACGGCUUACCAAGGCAACGAUGCAUAGCCGACCUGAGAGGGUGAUCGGCCACACUGGAGCUGAGACACGGUCCAGACUCCUACGGGAGGCAGCAGUAGGGAAUCUUCCGCAAUGGGCGAAAGCCUGAAGGAGCAAAGCCGCGUGGGUGAUGAAGGUCUUCGGAUCGUAAAACUGUGUUAGUAGGGAAGAAAAUAUGUGUAAGUAACUGCGCACAUCUUGACGGUAACUAAUCAGAAAGCCACGGCUAACUUCGUG